This 392-nucleotide ribosomal RNA is filed under the name uncultured bacterium. Its description in RNAcentral is "bacterial SSU rRNA". It matches the Rfam family "Bacterial small subunit ribosomal RNA", at positions 28 to 409 of the family's 1533-position model. The record is from RNAcentral.
GAUGAACGCUAGCUACAGGCUUAACACAUGCAAGUCGAGGGGCAGCGGGAUUGAAGCUUGCUUCAAUUGCCGGCGACCGGCGCACGGGUGAGUAACGCGUAUCCAACCUUCCGUACACUCAGGGAUAGCCUUUUGAAAGAAAGAUUAAUACCUGAUGGUAUGACGAGAUUGCAUGAUAGCAUCAUUAAAGAUUUAUCGGUGUACGAGUGGGGAUGCGUUCCAUUAGGUAGUAGGCGGGGUAACGGCCCACCUAGCCAACGAUGGAUAGGGGUUCUGAGAGGAAGGUCCCCCACAUUGGAACUGAGACACGGUCCAAACCUCCUACGGGAGGCAGCAGUGAGGAAUAUUGGUCAAUGGACGAGAGUCUGAACCAGCCAAGUAGCGUGAAGGNU